UCUCGAUAAGGGCAAAACUGGCGAAAGCCAGCGACGCAAAGCUAAAGGGGCUCCCGCAGUUUAAGCUGCAUGCCAGCCAGCCACCGAA
RNAcentral lists this non-coding RNA (88 nucleotides) under Paenibacillus sp. RNAcentral describes it as "c-di-GMP sequence". It matches the Rfam family "c-di-GMP-I riboswitch aptamer". From Rfam's summary of the family: GEMM was predicted in a large-scale screen for bacterial structured RNA regulatory elements. Genes associated with GEMM are involved in a diverse array of functions, including chemotaxis regulation, signal transduction, secretion and chitin. Lineage: Bacteria; Bacillati; Bacillota; Bacilli; Caryophanales; Paenibacillaceae. The record is from RNAcentral.